AUGGAUGAGUCUACUUUGGGGAGUCUUAGGCGUAGAGUGCCUAUUCUUGAUGGAGAAUAUUUUCAUGAGUGGAAAAAUGAAAUGCUUCAGAUUUUCAAUGAAUAUCACUUGAACAAGUAUAUUGCUAGCCCUUGUGCACCUCAUGUUGAUCCCAUGCAUCCUACCCUUGAUGAAUCAAUUGGCAUGAUUCACAAUCUUAGAACUGUUAAUCUUAUCACUAGAGGCUUGCCUAGAAACUUGAUUGGAUGUUUGCCGACUCUUAAGUGUGCCUACACCAUAUGGAAAUUUCUUGAGGAACUCUUUCCUAAUUAUUCCUUGAAAGAUCUAGAUGAAAUCCUCCAUAAGUGUAUUUCCUUGAUUAAGAUGAGUUCCAAUGAUCCCAAAUUUGGCGACUGCUUAAUUGAGCUUACUAAUCUUACGAGUGCCAAAGGAGAUGUUGGAGUUAUUAGCAAUAUUAUUUCUAGAGCUAUUAGAAUUCAUAAGAAUAACUAUAGAAAUGAUCAUUUAUCUAAUGAAUUGCCCUAUCUAGGAAUUGAUCAAUCACAAGAUGAUGUUGAACAUGAAUACUUGGAUGAGGAUGAUGACGAUAGUGACUAUGAUUUUGAUGAUGCGAUGAGACACUUUGGUCUUAUGGAAAAUCUUCGCGGCUACAUGGCUGGAGGAAAGGAAUGGGUCCUUGAUAGUGGAUGUACUGAUCAUAUGACCAGAGAUAAAGACAUGUUCCGUGAGCUUGCUGAAAAUGACGGCCUCGAAAGUAUGUCAUUUUUGGUGAUAAUUCAAAGGGUAAGGUGGUUGGCCUUGGUAAGGUGGCCAUCUCACAUGAUAGCUCCAUACAAAAUUUCAUGCUCGUUGAAUCUCUUGGCUACAACUUACUUUCAGUAUCUAGACUUGCAAAUUUCGGUUUCAAUGCCCUAUUUACUGAAAUAG
RNAcentral lists this ribosomal RNA (927 nucleotides) under Triticum aestivum (bread wheat). Its description in RNAcentral is "partial small subunit ribosomal RNA". Lineage: Eukaryota; Viridiplantae; Streptophyta; Magnoliopsida; Poales; Poaceae. The record is from RNAcentral.